This 1446-nucleotide ribosomal RNA is filed under the name uncultured marine microorganism. RNAcentral's name for it is "bacterial SSU rRNA". It matches the Rfam family "Bacterial small subunit ribosomal RNA". The record is from RNAcentral.
AGGGUUCGAUCCUGGCUCAGGAUGAACGCUGGCGGCGUGCUUAACACAUGCAAGUCGAACGAACCUUCGGGUUAGUGGCGGACGGGUGAGUAACGCGUGGGAAUCUGCCCUCAGGAGGGGGAUAACGGUUGGAAACGGCCGCUAAUACCCCAUAUGCCGAGAGGUGAAAUGAAUUUCGCCUGAGGAUGAGCCCGCGUCUGAUUAGCUAGUUGGUGAGGUAAUGGCUCACCAAGGCAUCGAUCAGUAGCUGGUCUGAGAGGAUGAUCAGCCACACUGGGACUGAGACACGGCCCAGACUCCUACGGGAGGCAGCAGUGGGGAAUUUUCCGCAAUGGGCGCAAGCCUGACGGAGCAACGCCGCGUGAGGGAUGAAGGCCUCUGGGCUGUAAACCUCUUUUCUCAAGGAAGAAGAUCUGACGGUACUUGAGGAAUAAGCCACGGCUAAUUCCGUGCCAGCAGCCGCGGUAAUACGGGAGUGGCAAGCGUUAUCCGGAAUUAUUGGGCGUAAAGCGCCCGCAGGCGGCUUUUCAAGUCUGCUGUUAAAGCGUGGAGCUUAACUCCAUCAAGGCAGUGGAAACUGAUUGGCUUGAGUGUGGUAGGGGCAGAGGGAAUUCCCGGUGUAGCGGUGAAAUGCGUAGAUAUCGGGAAGAACACCAGUGGCGAAGGCGCUCUGCUGGGCCAUAACUGACGCUCAUGGACGAAAGCCAGGGGAGCGAAAGGGAUUAGAUACCCCUGUAGUCCUGGCCGUAAACGAUGAACACUAGGUGUCGGGGGAAUCGACCCCCUCGGUGUCGUAGCCAACGCGUUAAGUGUUCCGCCUGGGGAGUACGCACGCAAGUGUGAAACUCAAAGGAAUUGACGGGGGCCCGCACAAGCGGUGGAGUAUGUGGUUUAAUUCGAUGCAACGCGAAGAACCUUACCAGGGUUUGACAUCCUGCGAAUCUCUUGGAAACGAGAGAGUGCCUUUGGGAACGCAGUGACAGGUGGUGCAUGGCUGUCGUCAGCUCGUGUCGUGAGAUGUUGGGUUAAGUCCCGCAACGAGCGCAACCCACGUUUUUAGUUGCCAGCAUUCAGUUGGGCACUCUAGAGAGACCGCCGGUGAUAAACCGGAGGAAGGUGUGGAUGACGUCAAGUCAUCAUGCCCCUUACAUCCUGGGCUACACACGUACUACAAUGCUACGGACAAAGGGCAGCAAGUUCGCGAGGACAAGCAAAUCCCAUAAACCGUGGCUCAGUUCAGAUCGUAGGCUGCAACUCGCCUACGUGAAGAAGGAAUCGCUAGUAAUCGCAGGUCAGCAUACUGCGGUGAAUACGUUCCCGGGCCUUGUACACACCGCCCGUCACACCAUGGAAGUUGGCCACGCCCGAAGUCGUUACUCCAACCCUUGUGGAGGAGGACGCCGAAGGUGGGGCUGAUGACUGGGGUGAAGUCGUAACAAGGUAACC